This 73-nucleotide transfer RNA is filed under the name Paramuricea clavata. It matches the Rfam family "tRNA". From Rfam's summary of the family: Transfer RNA (tRNA) molecules are approximately 80 nucleotides in length. The record is from Rfam by way of RNAcentral. Lineage: Eukaryota; Metazoa; Cnidaria; Anthozoa; Malacalcyonacea; Plexauridae.
GACCAUGUAGCUCAGUUGGUAGAGCAUUGGACUAGUAUCCCAAAGGUCGCGGGUUCUAUUCCCACUGUGGCCA